GCCGAUUAAAGUGGUACGCGAGCUGGGUUUAAAACGUCGUGAGACAGUUUGGUCCCUAUCUUCCGUGGGCGCAGGAGACUUGAGAGGGGUUGUCCCUAGUACGAGAGGACCGGGAUGAACGAACCACUGGUGUUCCUGUUGUCGCGCCAGCGGCAUCGCAGGGUAGCCACGUUCGGAAGGGAUAACCGCUGAAAGCAUCUAAGCGGGAAGCCCGCCUCAAGAUAAGGUCUCCCCGAAGGUCCCAGGUAGACUACCUGGUUGAUAGGCCGGAAGUGUAAGCAUGGCAACAUGUUCAGCCAACCGGUACUAAUAGACCGUUCGGCUUGUUUUUCCAC
Molecule: ribosomal RNA, 335 nt
Filed under: Desulfovibrio sp.
Lineage: Bacteria; Pseudomonadati; Thermodesulfobacteriota; Desulfovibrionia; Desulfovibrionales; Desulfovibrionaceae
Description: partial 23S ribosomal RNA
Rfam family: Bacterial large subunit ribosomal RNA
Source: RNAcentral